AUGGCCGGAGGGUCCGUCGCCUGUCCACGCAUGAGGGGCGGGAGGAAAGUCCGGGCAACGCAGAGCACCAUAUUUGCUAACGGCAAGCUAUCGGUAACGGUAGAGUAAUGUGACAGAAAAUUACCGCCCGCCCCUCGGGGCGGGUAAGGGUGAAAAGGCGAGGUAAGAGCUCACCGGGCGCGACAGCGAUAUCGCGCGCCGCACAUCUUAUGGGUUGCAAGGUCAAGUAUACCGGCAUUCAAGGGCUGCUCGUCCAUUGCCGGGGGGUAGACUGCUGAAUCCUGAUUCGUCAGGCAGAUAAAUGACGGACGGCGCCCGCCAACUCCCCGCCCCUUGCGGGCGAAAGUGGCGGCGCCACAUAACCCGGCUUAUACUCCGACCAUGCUU
This 387-nucleotide RNase P RNA is filed under the name Muribaculaceae bacterium. RNAcentral describes it as "RNase P RNA component class A". It matches the Rfam family "Bacterial RNase P class A". Rfam says of the family: Ribonuclease P (RNase P) is a ubiquitous endoribonuclease, found in archaea, bacteria and eukarya as well as chloroplasts and mitochondria. Its best characterised activity is the generation of mature 5'-ends of tRNAs by cleaving the 5'-leader elements of precursor-tRNAs. Lineage: Bacteria; Pseudomonadati; Bacteroidota; Bacteroidia; Bacteroidales; Muribaculaceae. The record is from RNAcentral.